UGCCAUAAUUGUAUUCAUGGUAAUACAAAGAAGCGAUUUAAUGUAUUUGAACAAAUUACACAAAAUUUGUUCGACAAAUGUUUGGCAAAUAGCAAGCAACAAAAAUUUUGAGAGAACGAAAUUACGGUGGAGGCAUUAUUUUGUGCACUCUGCGUUAUUGCCUUCAUUGUUAGUCUUACGAAAUGUUUACUAAUUUUGCUGUCAUCCUCGCGUUUGCGUAAUUUUGUUUUACCGGUCAGAACAUUAUUGCAGUGUGAUAAAUGAAAAGAAGAGAAGAACCAGGAACAAAAUUCGUUUUGUGCAAUCGUAAAAAAAAAAACUCCUUUAAUUCUUCUUAUUAACAACACCUUACGUUAAUUAUCGUGCGUGCAUUUAAAAUUGCAGUUAAAAGGCUUAAGAAAAAUAUAUGGAGAGUAAUCUGCUAUCGGUAUGUGCCGUAGUCUUCAUUCUUUCGCCCUUCAAAUUUCUGUGCACGUUGAUUGAAAUUCAUGAUAUAAUCUUACGGGAUGAACGCAGCUUGCGCUAAUGGGCGCUUCGCUAGGCGAGCAGAUAUUCAACAUGGCUGCUUACGGCAAAUGGGCAUAUUUUAAAGAAAUGAAAACUUCGUACGAGAAAGAAAGCAAAAGUAAAUGUACCUACGGCUUGAUAAGAACAUGCACUAGGAGACCGUAACCUGAAGUGCGAAAAAUUUAAAUUCAAUAUAUCCUGAGAGUCUAAGAGGAGUUAUCUGAAACAUUUCGUAGUUUCACAUAAAACAGUUGAACAGUCAUUGCCGUGAAAAGUAUAUAUCUGCAACUUCAUUAACACUAUAAAUUGUUUGCCCACAUUUAUAAAAUUGCUCGUGGAAUUCAGAAGCAGACAUUUUUUGGACCAAGCAGACGGUUUAACUGAUUAUUUAAGAAUUAUCGACAAACAGCUAACAUGGCAGUUCGUUUCAUUCAUAAAAUUCGCAAAUACUCUGCAGCCCUCUGCUCAUUGACAACAGGGGAUUUUAUGUGUAAUAAUGUACAAUUACAUAUAACCAACAAUGUUUAUUCGGAGAUCCGGCGAAAUAUGUCUUCGCAAUCCUUCCUUGCGACUUUAAGGUAAUCUUUUUUCAGUCUCUAUUUCACGAAAAUAAUUCUAAACCUAUGUUGAUUAAAUAUUAACCCAAUUAAAUGAAAUUCGAUAGUUUUUAAGAAGUUGCUCAAGUAGAGUUAAUUAUGAAAAUUUGAUAGAAGUACGUCGAAAUAUUUAUAUGUAAUUAUCAUAUACCAUAAUAAUUGUCUCACAUGUUGCAAUGAGCAAAUUAAGCAAUUGUUUACUAAUUAGUAUGUAAUGUACUUACGGUGAUUUGAACAAACCAAGAGAUAAAAGUGUCAUGCAAUUAUAAAUGAACGUUUUCUAGUACAUAAGUAAUAGAUGAAAUUUAAGAGAGUCAUUCGUUAUUAGGAUUAAGUAAAGAUUUAUAAUCUUAUAUGGAAAGGGGCAUGUUAUAAAUUAGUCACGAAGAUUUUUUUUGCCCCGUGUUCGACGACAGAUGAGGAAAAGUUGAAGAAUUUGCUUUUAAUUCGUAAAACUAACGCGGCUAGAUUUUUUUUUUAUAUACUUUGGUAGUGUUACCUCAUACUGGUGUUUUCAGAUGCCAACAUUUGCGAGAAGUAGUAAUAUUAAAGCAUUCACGUUGUACGUUAAUUGGUCCUAGCAUUUAAACUAUGAGAGAAGAUGUGCUUUCGUUAUAGGUCUAUUAUUGCGGUGUUAAGUUUUUAAUACCCACGAAAUUCCAUACAAAAUUGGUCGCUGUGUUGCAAAGUCUCGGGGUAUAUGUCUUGCGUGAUACCGCAUAUCUUUUUCUCUAGAAUUAUCAGACUAUUUUCCAAGCUCCCAUUAAAUUUAGCUUCGAACUUUGAGAAACCAUUUUUAAUUUGUAAGAUAAUGCCUUCUCUAUCCUAGCCUUAUCGCAACUAGUGCAAGUACAUUUAAAGGUGGUGUUUUUGGCGUAGACAAAAAAUUUGUUGUCCAAAACACCGGCACAACAAAAGGUCAGUUUACAAACAGCGCAGUUCACGCCAUUUUAGCCCACGGCUAAAGCUUAAACGCAUGGAACACAACGACUCUCCGAUGGGACUACGAUUAAUAAAAAUAAGAUAUGUUGAAUAAAUGCAUCAGCACAUAUACUACACCUGUCAGAACUGUCAGAACUACUAAUUAAAGAAGUUCUAUCCCUAGAGAGAUGUGGUAUUAGAAUCAAUUUUUUCUUCAAGACGUGUUAAUGUCAAUUGUUCACACGUCUCUUAAAUAUUUAAUCUUAAA
This is a long non-coding RNA of Glossina fuscipes, 2292 nucleotides long. RefSeq lists it as uncharacterized. The transcript has 3 exons. NCBI's taxonomy places the organism in Eukaryota, Metazoa, Arthropoda, Insecta, Diptera, Glossinidae. The record is from RefSeq and is a predicted model, not a curated record.